GGAACCAGAAUGGGGCUGUAUUCCGCGGC
This 29-nucleotide small RNA is filed under the name Bombyx mori (domestic silkworm). RNAcentral's name for it is "ovarian small RNA-17186". The record is from RNAcentral. Lineage: Eukaryota; Metazoa; Arthropoda; Insecta; Lepidoptera; Bombycidae.